GUACGGAAGGCAGCAGUGGGGAAUUUUGGACAAUGGGGGCAACCCUGAUCCAGCCAUGCCGCGUGUGUGAAGAAGGCCUUCGGGUUGUAAAGCACUUUCGGACGGAACGAAAUCGCACGGGUGAAUAUCCCGUGUGGAUGACGGUACUGUAAGAAGAAGCACCGGCUAACUACGUGCCAGCAGCCGCGGUAAUACGUAGGGUGCGAGCGUUAAUCGGAAUUACUGGGCGUAAAGCGUGCGCAGGCGGCUUCGCAAGUCAGACGUGAAAUCCCCGGGCUUAGCCUGGGAAUGGCGUUUGAAACUACGGAGCUGGAGUGUGGCAGAGGGAGGUAGAAUUCCACGUGUAGCGGUGAAAUGCGUAGAUAUGUGGAGGAAUACCGAUGGCGAAGGCAGCCUCCUGGGCCAACACUGACGCUCAUGCACGAAAGCGUGGGGAGCAAACAGGAUUAGAUACCCCAGUAU
This 462-nucleotide ribosomal RNA is filed under the name uncultured bacterium. RNAcentral describes it as "bacterial SSU rRNA". It matches the Rfam family "Bacterial small subunit ribosomal RNA", at positions 339 to 793 of the family's 1533-position model. The record is from RNAcentral.